RNAcentral lists this ribosomal RNA (434 nucleotides) under uncultured bacterium. RNAcentral's name for it is "partial 16S ribosomal RNA". It matches the Rfam family "Bacterial small subunit ribosomal RNA", at positions 29 to 507 of the family's 1533-position model. The record is from RNAcentral.
AACGAACGCUGGCGGCAGGCCUAACACAUGCAAGUCGAACGAACCUUUCGGGGUUAGUGGCGGACGGGUGAGUAACACGUGGGAACGUGCCUUUAGGUUCGGAAUAACUCAGGGAAACUUGUGCUAAUACCGAAUGUGCCCUUCGGGGGAAAGAUUAAUCGCCUUUAGAGCGGCCCGCGUCUGAUUAGCUAGUUGGUUGAGGUAAUGGCUCACCAAGGCGACGAUCAGUAGCUGGUCUGAGAGGAUGAUCAGCCACAUUGGGACUGAGACACGGCCCAAACUCCUACGGGAGGCAGCAGUGGGGAAUCUUGCGCAAUGGGCGAAAGCCUGACGCAGCCAUGCCGCGUGAAUGAUGAAGGUCUUAGGAUUGUAAAAUUCUUUUACCGGGGACGAUAAUGACGGUACCCGGAGAAGAAGCCCCGGCUAACUUCGUG